This 148-nucleotide signal recognition particle RNA is filed under the name Pan troglodytes (chimpanzee). RNAcentral's name for it is "Metazoan signal recognition particle RNA". It matches the Rfam family "Metazoan signal recognition particle RNA". From Rfam's summary of the family: The signal recognition particle (SRP) is a universally conserved ribonucleoprotein. It is involved in the co-translational targeting of proteins to membranes. Lineage: Eukaryota; Metazoa; Chordata; Mammalia; Primates; Hominidae. The record is from Rfam by way of RNAcentral.
GCUGGGCGUAGUGGCGCACGCCUGUAGUCCCAGCUACUCGGGAGGCUGAGGCAGGAGAAUCACUUGAACCUGGGAGGCGGAGGUGGCAGUGAGCUGAGAUUGCGCCACUGCACUCCAGCCCAGGUGACAGAGUGAGACUCUGUCUCAA